GAUGAACGCUGGCGGCGUGCCUAAUACAUGCAAGUCGAGCGAACAGACGAGGAGCUUGCUCCUUCGACGUUAGCGGCGGACGGGUGAGUAACACGUAGGUAACCUACCUAUAAGACUGGGAUAACUUCGGGAAACCGGAGCUAAUACCGGAUAAUAUUUCGAACCGCAUGGUUCGAUAGUGAAAGAUGGCUUUGCUAUCACUUAUAGAUGGACCUGCGCCGUAUUAGCUAGUUGGUAAGGUAACGGCUUACCAAGGCAACGAUAUGUAGCCGACCUGAGAGGGUGAUCGGCCACACUGGAACUGAGACACGGUCCAGACUCCUACGGGAGGCAGCAGUAGGGAAUCUUCCGCAAUGGGCGAAAGCCUGACGGAGCAACGCCGCGUGAGUGAUGAAGGUCUUCGGAUCGUAAAACUCUGUUAUUAGGGAAGAACAAACGUGUAAGUAACUGUGCACGUCUUGACGUUACCUAAUCAGAAAGCCACGGCUAACUACGUG
Molecule: ribosomal RNA, 497 nt
Filed under: uncultured bacterium
Lineage: Bacteria
Description: partial 16S ribosomal RNA
Rfam family: Bacterial small subunit ribosomal RNA
Source: RNAcentral